ACCGUCCGGCGCUGACGUCAGCCGGCUCCUCGGCUUGGGGAAGCGUUUCCCUGGCAUAUGGCAGCAUAUGGGGACAUAGCCAGAGACGUUUCUUAGCGUUAUCUCAUGUACUCCAGUCAGGCAGCGCAUCAGACAUGAUUAAGACUUAAGCUCUGGGCCGGGCACUGUGCUAAAUGCUAGGGUCCAAAAAACAAAUAAUUAAAUAAAGGCAAAAGACGGGAGAGACAACGGCAAACACAACUAUGUGCAAACGAGAUAUAAGCACCGUAACAGAUGUGUGCUGACACAGACAGGAGGUUAAAUAAACUCUUCAAGAUCACGUACCCUGCCAAGUAAGAACACGAACAACACAGGGGUCUAUCAGUCUUCAUUUAGCUCAUGCUAUCCAGCAAAACUGUAAAGUUUAGACUAAUGGACUGAGCUUUGGAAAUAACACUCCAUGACCCCUGCUAGCACAGUAUAUGGCUAAAAGAUAGAAUACCAUAUGUUAAGUGGAUCAGAUGUUAAAGUCCAAAGAAAUGCUACGUUGGUAGGUGGAAAGCUGAAUGCAUGUUUGUACUGUUAGCAAUAAUAAAACUAUUAUUUCAUUCAGA
This is a long non-coding RNA of Sarcophilus harrisii (Tasmanian devil), 593 nucleotides long. RefSeq lists it as uncharacterized. NCBI's taxonomy places the organism in Eukaryota, Metazoa, Chordata, Mammalia, Dasyuromorphia, Dasyuridae. The transcript has 2 exons. The record is from RefSeq and is a predicted model, not a curated record.